This 271-nucleotide ribosomal RNA is filed under the name uncultured bacterium. Its description in RNAcentral is "partial 16S ribosomal RNA". It matches the Rfam family "Bacterial small subunit ribosomal RNA", at positions 524 to 794 of the family's 1533-position model. The record is from RNAcentral.
UACAGAGGGUGCAAGCGUUAAUCGGAAUUACUGGGCGUAAAGGGCGCGUAGGCGGUCCUAUAAGUCAGAUGUGAAAGCUCCGGGCUCAACCCGGGAAUUGCAUCUGAUACUGUAGGACUUGAGUUCGGUAGAGGAGGGCGGAAUUCCAGGUGUAGCGGUGAAAUGCGUAGAUAUCUGGAGGAACACCCGUGGCGAAGGCGGCUCUCUGGUCCGAAACUGACGCUGAGGUGCGAAAGCUAGGGUAGCAAACAGGAUUAGAUACCCGGGUAGU